Molecule: ribosomal RNA, 253 nt
Filed under: uncultured bacterium
Lineage: Bacteria
Description: partial 16S ribosomal RNA
Rfam family: Bacterial small subunit ribosomal RNA
Source: RNAcentral
UACAGAGGGGGCAAGCGUUGUUCGGAAUUACUGGGCGUAAAGGGCUCGUAGGUGGCCAACUAAGUCAGACGUGAAAUCCCCAGGCUUAACCUGGGAACUGCGUCUGAUACUGGAUGGCUUGAAUUCGGGAGAGGGAUGCAGAAUUCCAGGUGUAGCGGUGAAAUGCGUAGAUAUCUGGAGGAAUACCGGCGGCGAAGGCGGCAUCCUGGACCGAGAUUGACACUGAUGAGCGAAAGCCAGGGGAGCAAACGGG